RNAcentral lists this microRNA precursor (76 nucleotides) under Myotis lucifugus (little brown bat). RNAcentral's name for it is "mir-9229 microRNA precursor family". It matches the Rfam family "mir-9229 microRNA precursor family". The record is from Rfam by way of RNAcentral. Lineage: Eukaryota; Metazoa; Chordata; Mammalia; Chiroptera; Vespertilionidae.
GAGGCACCCUUAUGGAGCAGGACUUGCUUUAGUGGGACUUUGCUGUUCGCUGAGUCUGCCCCUUGAGUGUAUCACU